AGUGAACGCUGGCGGUAGGCCUAACACAUGCAAGUCGAACGGCAGCACAGUAAGAGCUUGCUCUUACGGGUGGCGAGUGGCGGACGGGUGAGGAAUACAUCGGAAUCUACUUUUUCGUGGGGGAUAACGUAGGGAAACUUACGCUAAUACCGCAUACGACCUACGGGUGAAAGCAGGGGAUCUUCGGACCUUGCGCGAUUGAAUGAGCCGAUGUCGGAUUAGCUAGUUGGCGGGGUAAAGGCCCACCAAGGCGACGAUCCGUAGCUGGUCUGAGAGGAUGAUAGGCCAAACUGGAACUGGGACACGGUCCAGACUCCUACGGGAGGCAGCAGUGGGGAAUAUUGGACAAUGGGCGCAAGCCUGAUCCAGCCAUACCGCGUGGGUGAAGAAGGCCUUCGGGUUGUAAAGCCCUUUUGUUGGGAAAGAAAAGCAGCAGGUUAAUACCCCGCUGUUCUGACGGUACCCAAAGAAUAAGCACCGGCUAACUUCGUG
RNAcentral lists this ribosomal RNA (492 nucleotides) under uncultured bacterium. RNAcentral's name for it is "partial 16S ribosomal RNA". It matches the Rfam family "Bacterial small subunit ribosomal RNA", at positions 29 to 507 of the family's 1533-position model. The record is from RNAcentral.